Molecule: ribosomal RNA, 600 nt
Filed under: uncultured bacterium
Lineage: Bacteria
Description: bacterial SSU rRNA
Rfam family: Bacterial small subunit ribosomal RNA
Source: RNAcentral
AGAGUUUGAUCAUGGCUCAGAUUGAACGCUGGCGGCAUGCCUUACACAUGCAAGUCGAACGGUAACGCGGGGCAACCUGGCGACGAGUGGCGAACGGGUGAGUAAUGCAUCGGAACGUGCCCAGUAGUGGGGGAUAGCCCGGCGAAAGCCGGAUUAAUACCGCAUACGACCUACGGGUGAAAGCGGGGGAUCGCAAGACCUCGCGCCAUUGGAGCGGCCGAUGUCAGAUUAGGUUGUUGGUGGGGUAAAAGCCUACCAAGCCGACGAUCUGUAGCUGGUCUGAGAGGACGACCAGCCACACUGGGACUGAGACACGGCCCAGACUCCUACGGGAGGCAGCAGUGGGGAAUUUUGGACAAUGGGGGCAACCCUGAUCCAGCCAUGCCGCGUGCGGGAAGAAGGCCUUCGGGUUGUAAACCGCUUUUGUCAGGGAAGAAACGCUUUGAGCUAAUACCUCGAGGUAAUGACGGUACCUGAAGAAUAAGCACCGGCUAACUACGUGCCAGCAGCCCGCGGUAAUACGUAGGGUGCAAGCGUUAAUCGGAAUUACUGGGCGUAAAGCGUGCGCAGGCGGUCGUGCAAGACAGAUGUGAAAUCCCC